This 155-nucleotide small RNA is filed under the name Arabidopsis thaliana (thale cress). Its description in RNAcentral is "ATSL178570". The record is from RNAcentral. Lineage: Eukaryota; Viridiplantae; Streptophyta; Magnoliopsida; Brassicales; Brassicaceae.
UCUUGGGUUCCAUUUACAUCUCUUAGAGCAGUGCGAUCUACUUGUAAAACGUGGAACGCUUUAUCGAAAAAUCAGAUCUUUGGUAAAAAAUCAGUAGCAAGGAAUCAGUUUCUAGAGUUAAUGAUUCUAGAUUCUAGGGUUUGUUCCUUGAGAUU